Alligator sinensis (Chinese alligator) is the source of this 240-nucleotide long non-coding RNA. RefSeq lists it as uncharacterized. The record is from RefSeq and is a predicted model, not a curated record. The transcript has 6 exons. Lineage: Eukaryota; Metazoa; Chordata; Crocodylia; Alligatoridae.
UUCCCCCGGGUCUCCCCCUGGAUGGUGGCUCUGGCUGUGAUUGUACCCAUCAUGUUGGUGGUCAUUGUCCUGAGCAUUUUCUACUUCUGCCGUGCAAAAGGACUUCUGCAAUCCAAGCUGGAGAGUGAGAAAGCGGCCCUGAAGUCUGCCCUGGAGAGUGAGAUAGGGACUCUGCAAUCCAAGCUGGAAAGUGAGAAAGAGAGGCGCCGUGCAGACAAAGCGGAGUAUGAAGCAAUGAAA